This 2193-nucleotide ribosomal RNA is filed under the name human metagenome. Its description in RNAcentral is "bacterial LSU rRNA". It matches the Rfam family "Bacterial large subunit ribosomal RNA", at positions 14 to 2296 of the family's 2925-position model. The record is from RNAcentral.
AGAGCGUAGGGAGAAUGCCUUGGCAUUAGGAGCCGAUGAAGGACGUGAUAAGCUGCGAUAAGCUGCGGGGAUCAGCAAGUAUGAAUUGAUCCGCAGAUUUCCGAAUGGAGCAAUCCGUAUGUGUAUGCACAUACAUCAUAUACUGAAUCAAAUAGGUAUAUGAGGGGAACCGCCUGAACUGAAACAUCUAAGUAGGGCGAGGAAGAGAAAUCAACCGAGAUUCUGUGAGUAGUGGCGAGCGAAAGCGGAAGAGGCUAAACCAUAGGUAGCAAUACUUAUGGGGUUUCGGACAGCAUUUAGUAUUGAUAAUUUCUAGUUGAAACGUGUGGGAAAACGUACCGAAGAGUGUGAGAGUCACGUAAGCGAAAGAGAGAGUCAGCGAGCUGUAUCCAAAGUACCGCGGGACACGUGAAACCCCGUGGGAAGAUGGGGGGACCAUCCUCCAAGCCUAAAUACUACCUAAUGACCGAUAGCGAAUAGUACUGUGAAGGAACGGUGAAAAGAACCCCGGGAGGGGAGUGAAAAAGAACCUGAAACCCUAUGCUUACAAGCACCGAGAGCACGUCAAAGUGUGAUCGGGUACCUUUUGUAGAAUGGUCCGGCGAGUUAUUGUAUGCGGCAAGGUUAAGUGCUUAAGGCACGGAGCCGAAGCGAGAGCAAGUCUGAACAGGGCGAAAAAGUCGUAUGCAAUAGACCCGAAACCGAGUGACCUAUCCAUGUCCAGGCUGAAGUGGAGGUAAAACUCCAUGGAGGGCCGAACACACGUCCGUUGAAAAGGCCGGUGAUGAGGUGUGGAUAGCGGAGAAAUUCCAAUCGAACUCGGAUAUAGCUGGUUCUCUCCGAAAUAGCUUUAGGGCUAGCCUCGUGAAAGAUUACUGGAGGUAAAGCACUGAAUGGGCUAGGGGUCGAAAGAUUACUGAACCCUAUCAAACUAAGAAUGCCAGAUAAUUGAUUCACGGGAGUCAGACAAUGUGAGAUAAGUCUCAUUGUCAAAAGGGAAACAGCCCAGACCCACAGCUAAGGUCCCUAAACAUUGUUAAGUGGAAAAGGAUGUGGGGUUGCAUAAACAACCAGGAUGUUGGCUUAGAAGCAGCCACUCAUUAAAAGAGUGCGUAAUAGCUCACUGGUCGAGUGACCCUGCGCCGAAAAUUCAACGGGGCUAAACAAUGUACCGAAGCUUGGGAUUCUAAAGUAAUUUAGAGUGGUAGGAGAGCGUCGAAUAAGGGGUGAAGUCAGAGCGGAAGCGCUGGUGGACUUUAUUCGAGUGAGAAUGCCGGAAUGAGUAGCGAGAAUUAUGUGAGAAUCAUAAUGGCCGAAAAUCUAAGGUUUCCUGAGGAAGGUUCGUCCGCUCAGGGUAAGCCGGGGGCUAAGGCGAGGCGGAGACGCGUAGCCGAUGCACAUACGGUUGAAAUUCCGUAGCCACCGAAAGAUUUAAGUACAGGGACGCUUUAGAAGUGAUGUUGCCGGGCGAUGGUUGACCCGGUCGUAAGGGAUCGAAAAUGAGUAGAGAAGUCAUCAUGGAAAGAGACAAGAAAAGCUGUAUGAAUAUCUUAGGUGCCCGUACCGCAAACCGACACAGGUAGAUAGGAAGAAGAUUCUAAGGCCAACGGGAGAAGGGUUGUUAAGGAACUCGGCAAGUUGACCCCGUAACUUAGGGAUAAGGGGUGCUCAAGUGAUUGAGCCGCAGAGAAUAGGCCCAGGCGACUGUUUAGCAAAAACACAGGUCUCUGCUAAAUCGAAAGAUGACGUAUAGGGGCUGACACCUGCCCGGUGCCGGAAGGUUAAGAGGAGAUGUGAGAGCAUUGAAUUGAAGCCCCGGUAAACGGCGGCCGUAACUAUAACGGUCCUAAGGUAGCGAAAUUCCUUGUCAGGUAAGUUCUGACCCGCACGAAAGGUGUAACGAUCUGGGCACUGUCUCAACAACCCGCCCGGCGAAAUUGUAGUACCGGUGAAGAUGCCGGUUACCCGCGACUAGACGGAAAGACCCCAUGGAGCUUUACUGUAGCCUAAUAUUGGAUUUCGGUAUUUCACGUACAGGAUAGGUGGGAGACUGGGAAGCACAGGCGUCAGCUUGUGUGGAGUCGACCUUGGGAUACCACUCUUGGAGUGCUGGAAUUCUAACCUGCGGCUUUGAAGCAAGUCGGGGGACAUUGUUAGGUGGGCAGUUUGACUGGGGCGGUCGCCUCCUAAAGA